GUCGAACGAACUCUGGUAUUGAUUGGUGCUUGCAUCAUGAUUUACAUUUGAGUGAGUGGCGAACUGGUGAGUAACACGUGGGAAACCUGCCCAGAAGCGGGGGAUAACACCUGGAAACAGAUGCUAAUACCGCAUAACAACUUGGACCGCAUGGUCCGAGUUUGAAAGAUGGCUUCGGCUAUCACUUUUGGAUGGUCCCGCGGCGUAUUAGCUAGAUGGUGGGGUAACGGCUCACCAUGGCAAUGAUACGUAGCCGACCUGAGAGGGUAAUCGGCCACAUUGGGACUGAGACACGGCCCAAACUCCUACGGGAGGCAGCAGUAGGGAAUCUUCCACAAUGGACGAAAGUCUGAUGGAGCAACGCCGCGUGAGUGAAGAAGGGUUUCGGCUCGUAAAACUCUGUUGUUAAAGAAGAACAUAUCUGAGAGUAACUGUUCAGGUAUUGACGGUAUUUAACCAGAAAGCCACGGCUAACUACGUGCCAGCAGCCGCGGUAAUACGUAGGUGGCAAGCGUUGUCCGGAUUUAUUGGGCGUAAAGCGAGCGCAGGCGGUUUUUUAAGUCUGAUGUGAAAGCCUUCGGCUCAACCGAAGAAGUGCAUCGGAAACUGGGAAACUUGAGUGCAGAAGAGGACAGUGGAACUCCAUGUGUAGCGGUGAAAUGCGUAGAUAUAUGGAAGAACACCAGUGGCGAAGGCGGCUGUCUGGUCUGUAACUGACGCUGAGGCUCGAAAGUAUGGGUAGCAAACAGGAUUAGAUACCCUGGUAGUCCAUACCGUAAACGAUGAAUGCUAAGUGUUGGAGGGUUUCCGCCCUUCAGUGCUGCAGCUAACGCAUUAAGCAUUCCGCCUGGGGAGUACGGCCGCAAGGCUGAAACUCAAAGGAAUUGACGGGGGCCCGCACAAGCGGUGGAGCAUGUGGUUUAAUUCGAAGCUACGCGAAGAACCUUACCAGGUCUUGACAUACUAUGCAAAUCUAAGAGAUUAGACGUUCCCUUCGGGGACAUGGAUACAGGUGGUGCAUGGUUGUCGUCAGCUCGUGUCGUGAGAUGUUGGGUUAAGUCCCGCAACGAGCGCAACCCUUAUUAUCAGUUGCCAGCAUUAAGUUGGGCACUCUGGUGAGACUGCCGGUGACAAACCGGAGGAAGGUGGGGAUGACGUCAAAUCAUCAUGCCCCUUAUGACCUGGGCUACACACGUGCUACAAUGGAUGGUACAACGAGUUGCGAACUCGCGAGAGUAAGCUAAUCUCUUAAAGCCAUUCUCAGUUCGGAUUGUAGGCUGCAACUCGCCUACAUGAAGUCGGAAUCGCUAGUAAUCGCGGAUCAGCAUGCCGCGGUGAAUACGUUCCCGGGCCUUGUACACACCGCCCGUCACACCAUGAGAGUUUGUAACACCCAAAGUCGGUGGGGUAACCUUUUAGGA
Molecule: ribosomal RNA, 1421 nt
Filed under: Lactiplantibacillus plantarum
Lineage: Bacteria; Bacillati; Bacillota; Bacilli; Lactobacillales; Lactobacillaceae
Description: bacterial SSU rRNA
Rfam family: Bacterial small subunit ribosomal RNA
Source: RNAcentral